Molecule: ribosomal RNA, 498 nt
Filed under: uncultured bacterium
Lineage: Bacteria
Description: partial 16S ribosomal RNA
Rfam family: Bacterial small subunit ribosomal RNA
Source: RNAcentral
AUUGAACGCUGGCGGCAUGCCUUACACAUGCAAGUCGAACGGUAACAGGUCUUCGGAUGCUGACGAGUGGCGAACGGGUGAGUAAUACAUCGGAACGUGCCUAGUAGCGGGGGAUAACUACUCGAAAGAGUGGCUAAUACCGAAUGAGAUCUACGGAUGAAAGCAGGGGAUCGCAAGACCUUGUGCUACUAGAGCGGCCGAUGGCAGAUUAGGUAGUUGGUGGGAUAAAAGCUUACCAAGCCGACGAUCUGUAGCUGGUCUGAGAGGACGAUCAGACACACUGGGACUGAGACACGGCCCAGACUCCUACGGGAGGCAGCAGUGGGGAAUUUUGGACAAUGGGCGAAAGCCUGAUCCAGCAAUGCCGCGUGCAGGAUGAAGGCCUUCGGGUUGUAAGCUGCUUUUGUACGGAACGAAAAGCCCCGGGUUAAUACCCUGGGGUCAUGACGGUACCGUAAGAAUGAGCACCGGCUAACUACGUGCCAGCCGUCGCCGUAA